This 253-nucleotide ribosomal RNA is filed under the name uncultured bacterium. RNAcentral describes it as "partial 16S ribosomal RNA". It matches the Rfam family "Bacterial small subunit ribosomal RNA", at positions 524 to 776 of the family's 1533-position model. The record is from RNAcentral.
UACGUAGGGCGCAAGCGUUAUCCGGAAUUAUUGGGCGUAAAGAGCUCGUAGGCGGUUUGUCGCGUCUGCCGUGAAAGUCCGGGGCUCAACUCCGGAUCUGCGGUGGGUACGGGCAGACUGGAGUGCGGUAGGGGAGAAUGGAAUUCCUGGUGUAGCGGUGGAAUGCGCAGAUAUCAGGAGGAACACCGAUGGCGAAGGCAGUUCUCUGGGCCGUAACUGACGCUGAGGAGCGAAAGCAUGGGGAGCGAACAGG